Non-coding RNA from Meleagris gallopavo (turkey), 3400 nucleotides. The record is from RefSeq and is a predicted model, not a curated record. NCBI's taxonomy places the organism in Eukaryota, Metazoa, Chordata, Aves, Galliformes, Phasianidae.
UUUCAAAUUCCUUAUGGAUCCCAAUGCCAUGCUUGCAAUGCAAGCCGUGAAAGUUUCUGAAAUCCAGCAAUACCAGGGCCCUUUCAGCAAGGGCCUGGGGUAGUAGAAAAAAUUCCUGGUUAAAAGUACAUGGGAUUUGACUUGUUUGCCUGAGAAAGUCUUUGUAGGACUAUGUCCCAUGCACACAGGAAUAAGGAUGUUUGUCAUUUUAUAUCACUGCAACACUGUGCCAGCGCUGAAUCACAUUCUCCUGCAAAGCCUACGUGGCCCUUGGCCCUCAGUGGGAAGCCGAGAUAACCAAAGUGCUGCAGUCAGAAGAGUUACCAGGAAAACAUACUUUAUGGCUGUAAGUUGUACUCAAAAAAGGUAGAUAAACACCACAUCAAAUGAACUGUGGUUUACUGACUCACGGUCUCCUCACCAAACUCUCCUGAUUAAAAAAUGGCAAUUUAAGUUCUGCAGAGAGCUAUCAGCACGUUCAGGCUGCAAACACGAGAGUUCACAAGAGCAGAAACGCUCUUUGCCCCACAGCACUUUGCUGUGGUUUAAAGGCACUUUCUGAAAGCCACUAGAAAUCACCCAUGAAUAUCCUACGGUCUGGGAGACAGAGAGACCUUGGGAUGGGCUGCUUUCUCCUCCCCAGCUUCUGAACACAGUUGUCACUGUUAGAGACAAAGAGAUUUCUGCCAGCUAGCGAAAAGAUGCUAUGAAAAUACGCUCCCAGAAAGCCUCUUUGAGCUCUGCUGAGAUGAUAUUAACAGCAGUACUUCAGAAAGCCAAGAAUGGUAUGUUGAAGUGUGAGAAGGUACAUGUUUAUUUUCUGAAGCAUGUCUACAAAAAGUAUCAUGGAUAUAAAGAGGACGAACCAGUGGUGCUGAUGUCACAAGAAGCUGAAGCCAACAAUUAUGAUGUAAGAGUAACAUUAAAUUAACCAUUUUUAUAGCGCUGCAUUUUCUGCUUCUUAACCUCACAAAACAAAACAAAACAAAAACCCAACAGUUACCCUGCUGCUCUUGCAGGGUAGACAGAAAAUGAGAUUUAACUGCACUCUCACACACCGAGCUGUUUCAACAGCUUUUCCCAGACUGUCACCCACAUGAGUGGCAAUCAGUGGGCCAAGCUGAGUAGCCAGCACUUCAGUCUCUGUGUGGGAGCACACUGAGCUGUGCUUCCAAUAAGCUUUGCAAUGAGAGAUUUGGUACUGUGUGAGCAGUGAGCCACAAAGACACUGUAAAAUCUGGCAGGAAUAUUCUGAUGCAAAAAAGACUGUGAUCCAGAACACAGGUUUCACUCUUCACUUGUUUUAGCUUUAGGGUUUUAAGUUGGAUCAACAGAUGCAACAACAGUAAAAACAUCUAAAUGUCCACCUUCAGCGCUAGGCGUGAAAUUAUUGCUUCUUAACAGCUCUGAAAUGUUUUACCCAUUGGAAAAGAGCUGUAUUGAUACUGUAAAUAAAAAGGAGUUCUGCCCUCAAUAAAAUGUGACAUUGCACAAUCAGAGCUGCGAGACACGCUGGCUGGAACUGUGAUUAUCAAAAGGAAAGGACCAGGACUGAUGAAUAGGAUGCUAAUGUGUACUGUGGCUGAGAUGUUUAUUUGGCUUUGUAGCAUCAGGCUGCUGAGGCUUUCCAGAUGGGGAACUAAGAGGGAAGUUACUGCAAGGUAAGCAUCUUAAGAUCUUUCCUUGUGCUCCAGGAUGUAACAGUUUGAAUCCUGGGGACUCAUGGAUGCUUCCAGAUGUAUUGUGGCCCAAGAAAGUGAAAUCAAGAAGUGAAAGCAAGAAGACUGCAGCUACAAAUUUCCACUGCCCUUCAGAAAUCCUCCCACCUACAACUCUCAAGCAAUCCUUUCUGCAAUGUCUGCAGAGCUAACAGUUGACAUGAGCUCCACAAACCAACAAGAACGUACAGUGUACUGGAUGGAAUAGCAGGUCCUGCAAGUAGUGGGAAACAUGACCAGGAGAUUCCACAUCUUAAAUCCAAAAGCUGUGACCCUGCCUCACACUUACACCCGUGCUAAUGUUAAGACAGAAGAGUAGUCCCCCUGGUAACUACAGUCUAAGUGUGUAAAUGCACAGGUGUGAAUACUUGUGUCACUUUGCUGCUGAAGGCAAAAGUAUUAGCAAAACACAGCUUUGAACUGACAAAGACGUGCUGUCUGUCCUGUGAAAACAACAUCCACACACCUGAAACUGCAGCCUCUACUGUGGGACGUACAAUGGCUUGCUUGCUGCUGGAUCUGUGCUUUAAAUGUACUGAAUCAAGUUAUUCUUUGGGAUAAGUCUUUCACAGCCUGUGGUAGCAGUGCUAGUGCAAUUUGUUUGGCCUGAUACAACUUUUUGCUAUGUUGCAGAAGAUGUGAGACAGGAAGAAGGAAAUGGGAUACUGCACAUGCAUAACAUGCAGUCUCUUAAAGACAACUAAUAAAAGGCAGAGUAUUAAUGUCCUGUGUGGACAGCAUUAUCUCCACAAUUCUCUUCCUGCUAUUUAUGUAUAAUGUGUGCAUGUAUCUAUUUCUAUUUCCAGCAUCUACAGCUAAUUUCUCUUGCAAUAAAAAGCCUGCUCUGCUGCACUAGCAACCGGCGUGAGGUUGUUAAACUUGUCAGCAGUUUUCCAUUGCCUUACUACGUGUGACAAGUGAGAAGCUGAAGACAGGAGCCUGCUGCCCUUUAGAGUUCCCUGAGCAGAAGGGCAAACACUAAUCAGGACAGGUACAAUUCUCACAAAGAAGCGAUCCAAGAAUCCUUGCAGCUCUCAGACGCUUGAUCCUGGUGGCUGCCACUUGGAAUUCUCUGCUCUGGAGCCUGCAAAACACAUUGUACACAACAGAGGCCUUUCAGCGUUCACCGAGGAGUGAAAAAACAUCUCAGGGGCAGCUGUGGUGACGUGGUUGAACGAGCUGGGCUGCCAGGGCAGCCAAAUUCUUUUCAGUCACACCAGCCAGAACAAACAGCACUUGAUGUCAGCAGAGGGGCAGGCGUGGGGCGAGUAGGGUGUGAACUUCCACCGACGCACUUCCGUGGCCGUCAGCCCACGGUGACACGUCCACCUGCCUCUUUGCUCCUUAAUACCAGUGUAAUUACUGCCAUUAAUUAACCGGAGCCUCGAGCGGCCCUGCACUGUGACACCUUCUGAAUGUUAGACCUAUGUUCGCGUUUGAUCAUGACGCGUAUCAGGACGCGACGCGCCCUGUAUUUUGUAGGAUAUCCCGAGUUCAGCAGCAGCUGAAUGUUAAAGGCGAUUUGUGAGAGCAGUGUCCGAACAGAGGCCGGCAGCUCGAGGCCGUGCCCGCUGCCCAGGGGGGGCCCGUUCCAGCACCACGCGGGGCGAAGAACCUUUUUUUAAUCGCCAAUCCGACUCUCCUCGGCGCGGCUUUGGCGACCUGCUGCGGAAUUAGCGUCC